GUAAAACGCUGGCGGCAGGCUUACUACAUGCACCUCUCACUAGAACGCUCUGGCUUCCGUCGGUGCGAGUACAGUGGCGGACGGGUGCGUAUCUCGUAUAUGAGAUGCCCACAUGCGCGGGAUAACCACGGGAAACCGUGCCUAAUAUCACACGUCAUCUGGACCCCGCGUGGGGGCGAGAUGAAAUCUUGGGGUUACCCAAACGCCUUUGGAUGGGUCUAUGUUGGAUUUGCUUGUUGGUGAGGCAACCGCUCACCAAUGCAACGAUCCAUACUUGGUCUGAGGUGACCAUCAGCCGCACUGGGACUGAGACACGGCCCCUACUCCUACCGGACGUGGGGAUGGGGAAUCUUGCGCAACGCGGUCACCCCUGACUGCCCCCAUGCCACGUAGACGAGGACGCCCCUAUGGAGGCUAUUCUCUUUUUCAGAACAAAUACACGCCAGUAGAUUCAGGGCCCUGCUGUUAUUCACGAAUGAGCAGCGGCUAAAUCUGAGCCAACCACCCGCGUAAUACCGAAGGUGCACUCGUUGUCGGGAAUCUUUGGGUGUAAAGGGUGCGCAUGGGGGGCAGCAAGUCUCGACGUGUAAACCCCAUGGCGCACCCAUGGAGGUGCAUUCGAAACUGUUGCUCUUGAGUCCCGGAGAGGCUGUCGGAAUUCGUGGUGUAGCGGUGAAAUGCGUAGAUAUCACGAGGAACACCAGAGGCGAAAGCGGGCAGCUGGACGGGUACUGACGCUCAGGCACGAAAGCGUGGGGAGCAAACAGGAUUAGAUACCCUGGUAGUCCACGCCGUAAACGAUGAACGCUCGCCGUUGCCCCGCUCAAGGGGCAGUGGCUAAGUUAACGCGUUAAGCGUUCCACCUGGGGAGUACGAUCGCAAGGUUGAAACUCAAAGGAAUUGACGGGGGCCCGCACAAGCGGUGGAGCAUGUGGCUCAAUUCGAUGCAACGCGAAGAACCUUACCUAGGCUCGAACGCUAGAGGACCGCUCCUGAAAGGGAGCUUCCCCUUUGGGGCUUCUAGCGAGGUACUGCAUGGCUGUCGUCAGCUCGUGUCGUGAGAUGUUGGGUUAAGUCCCGCAACGAGCGUAACCCCUGUUGCUAGUUACCAUCGGGUAAUGCCGGGGACUCUAGCGAAACUGCCUGCGCAAGCAGUGAGGAAGGUGGGGAUGACGUCAAGUCAUCAUGGUCCUUACGCCUAGGGCUGCACACGUGCUACAAUGGCCGGUACAACGGGUAGCCACCUCGCGAGAGGGAGCGAAUCCCUGAAAACCGGUCCCAGUUCGGAUUGGAGUCUGCAACUCGACUCCAUGAAGCAGGAAUCGCUAGUAAUCGCGGAUCAGCAAUGCCGCGGUGAAUCCGUUCCCGGGCCUUGUACACACCGCCCGUCAAGCCAUGGAAGCUGAGAACACCCGAAGUCCGUGACUCAACUCCGGCCUCGCGCUGGAGGGAGAGCGGCCGAAGGUGAGUUCAGUGACUGGGGCU
This 1485-nucleotide ribosomal RNA is filed under the name uncultured bacterium. RNAcentral's name for it is "bacterial SSU rRNA". It matches the Rfam family "Bacterial small subunit ribosomal RNA". The record is from RNAcentral.